UGAACCGGCUCAGCACAUUCCCUCUCGGCGGCGGCUUAUCGCGCCAAGGAUGUGCUUUUGACUGGCCAUCAAUCAUGUUUGAACGUUCCCCGUGAUUCCUGAGAUAGGAACCCCUUUGAUACAAGUUAACAAUACAGCACACGCAGCGUGGGCUGAGGAGAAUUCUUUUGAAUAAGUACCCAGGAAUGCUUAAGUGGCUGCCAAACCGGAGAAGAAAAGGGCCUGGAGGGCGGCUGAGAGGAACAAAGGGGAACUGAGGAAGAGAUGGAGUGGAGAGCAGAGGACGAGUGUGAAAGGCAAGAUGAGCACAUGAAGCCGAAGACAGUUCUGUGAAAACGCCGCGCAGAGCUCCAAGGGAGCUGUCGGGGCAGAAAAGACCGCAGAAGGGGCGGUGCAUCCCAACAGGAACCCCUGCUCUGCACCUUACCAUCAACACACCGCAAAAGAGCCAUUUUGGAAUAUGUUCCUGGGAACUCAAAGUUCACUCACUACUCAUACCUACCUCGUGUGAGAUUCAUUUAUUAAAAUGGAGGUAGGCUUCA
Molecule: non-coding RNA, 542 nt
Organism: Peromyscus maniculatus bairdii (prairie deer mouse)
Lineage: Eukaryota; Metazoa; Chordata; Mammalia; Rodentia; Cricetidae
Source: RefSeq, a predicted model, not a curated record